Molecule: ribosomal RNA, 379 nt
Filed under: uncultured bacterium
Lineage: Bacteria
Description: bacterial SSU rRNA
Rfam family: Bacterial small subunit ribosomal RNA
Source: RNAcentral
AUUGAACGCUGGCGGCAUGCCUUACACACGCAAGUCGAACGGCAGCACGGGAGCAAUCCUGGUGGCGAGUGGCGAACGGGUGAGUAAUAUAUCGGAACGUGCCCAGUCGUGGGGAUAACGUAGCGAAAGCUACGCUAAUACCGCAUACGAUCUAUGGAUGAAAGCGGGGGAUCGCAAGACCUCGCGCGAUUGGAGCGGCCGAUAUCAGAUUAGGUAGUUGGUGAGGUAAAGGCUCACCAAGCCGACGAUCUGUAGCUGGUCUGAGAGGACGACCAGCCACACUGGGACUGAGACACGGCCCAGACUCCUACGGGAGGCAGCAGUGGGGAAUUUUGGACAAUGGGCGCAAGCCUGAUCCAGCAAUGCCGCGUGCAGGAUG